RNAcentral lists this long non-coding RNA (1296 nucleotides) under Coturnix japonica (Japanese quail). Its description in RNAcentral is "lncRNA (ENSCJPG00005014951.1)". Lineage: Eukaryota; Metazoa; Chordata; Aves; Galliformes; Phasianidae. The record is from RNAcentral.
UCUUUGUUCGUAUUUUUAGACCAUCCAAAUAUUUGUUUACACAUUUCCUGUGGAGAACAUACCCUUUGUAGCACUGCUGCUACAUCAGCCCACUCCCAAUUUAUUUUAGUAUCCACCAGCUGAUGGGAGACAGAUGGGUGCAGGUUUUGAGCAGAGGAAUGUUGCCCUGCCUCUGAUGGCAGUGAAAGGUGUCCUGCCCAACCUCUCAGGAGGUCAGAGCAGCUGUAGGAGAGUUUCUUCAGCCAAGCUACACUGUUCACAUCCAGCCUAUACAAUUGGUAGGGAAGGAAGCAGAAGAGAGCCUUCUGAGAGCUUCACUCAGUGCCGCCAAUUUAGACAAAUGACUGAAUCCCUUGCUGUAGCAGAGUCAAGUCAAAGACUUUGUGAACACGUGGAGACGGCAGUGGAAAGUCCUGGAUGGAGGAAGCCAGAAAGAGAGCUGGUAUCUUGUGACAGCAGAUCCUCCGAUAUGUAUCUGGUGAGAAAGGGGAUUUUGUGGAAAAUGGUUUGUGGGAUACAGAACUAAGUCAGCUGGGGAGGAAAUAGAAGACCUGAAAUCAGAGCAAGAAAGAAGAGAAAAGUUGUUCUUCUUUCAGUAUUCCCAUCCAGAAGAAAACAUCUCAGAUGAUCCAGACCACCAAACUAUGAAGCCUUGUCUAAUAUAUAGUUCCCAUAAACACAGGAAUUUUCUAUGUCAAGAAGGGCAUAGAGACACUAUGUCAAAUGAUAAAAUUGUAUAUAUUUCUGUAUACAGUUCAUAUGUCUAGGAUUUUUAUUUUCAGAAACCCCAUUGUUAAUGUGAACAUUUCACCAGUGUUGGAUGUUGCCCUGGGCAGCCUGGUCUAGUAUUACAUAUGGAGGUUGGUGGCCCUGCCUGUGGUGGGGAGGUUGGAGCUUGAUGAUCCUUGAGGUCCCUUCCAACCUAGGACAUUCUGUGAUUGUGUGAUUCUGUAGUAAGUUUGUCUUUCUGGACUGCAAAUGCACACUGCUGUCCCAUGUAGAAUUGAUUUAAUUUCCAUCAAUCGACACUCCCAACGUCCUUCUCAGGUCUGCUUUCAGUCCAUUCUCUGCCCAGCCCCUCUCUUGGCUUGGCAUUGUCCCAACCAAGUGUAGAACAGUACAUUUGAUUGUGAUGAAUUUCAAGUCAAACUGAGUCUUGGUGGUAUAAUGUUUGUUCCUUAUUUUUAACCAACUAAAAUCCUAUUGUUUGUCUGGAAUACAUAUACCCAUUCAUGAUGUCAGCAUAUAUUUAGUAAAUGACUAUCAUCACAAUAAAACACUCCACUCAAUUAAACA